UACUGGUGUAAACAGGAGAUUGACAUCAA
RNAcentral lists this non-coding RNA (29 nucleotides) under Mus musculus (house mouse). The record is from RNAcentral. Lineage: Eukaryota; Metazoa; Chordata; Mammalia; Rodentia; Muridae.